AAUAAAGAACCUAAAAAUAAGGAUUAUUUUGAUAGAAUAAACAUUGUAUGAAUCAUACCUUUAUUA
RNAcentral lists this transfer RNA (66 nucleotides) under Hydroptila angulata. RNAcentral's name for it is "tRNA-Ile". The record is from RNAcentral. Lineage: Eukaryota; Metazoa; Arthropoda; Insecta; Trichoptera; Hydroptilidae.